UUUUAAUUUUUUAUUACACCCAUAAGAAGGUGCCAUGGGUUUCCAUGUUGGCAGAGCUGGUAGAGGAGCACAGCGGGAAGGGUCCUGUUGAGGCAGGACCCGCAGAGAGAUGAUCCCACUGCUCUGUGGCAAUGGCCGCCUGCUCUGCCCUUCCCCUCCCGCAGGCAGCAGGAGCGGCUGAACUCGCUGUCUCUGCCUGACUAACACAGGAAGAAGCAAGCGGGACCGGCAAUCUGGCUCCCUGCCGCAGGGGCAGGAGGCAGCUGGUUUUGUGGGGAAGAACCAGCUACUCAUCCAUCACAGCAGCAGGGGCUCCGUUUCCUGCACUGCCUGCUGCGGCAGGCAGCGUUUGCUCAGGGAGAGUCUCCUCCAGAAAAACAAAAGAGCUAGAGGGAAGCAACCCUGCGGACCAGGUUACCUCCUGGAGCAAGCUGAUGUAAGCAAAGUAGUCAGAGACAAGGGAUAAAGACGGCUUAGCUCAACCACUUGCUAAGGGCUCAUCAUCACGAGCAGGUACAUCUGCACAGAAGCACAUCCUCACACCACAGGUGGCAACGAAUGGACCAGGCAGACUUUUGCUUCUUCCCCCAGGCUGAAUCUGAAACCUGAAAAGAAGCAUUCAGCACAUACGUGUGCAACGUUAGGACUCCCAAGGAAAGAGACUUCUCUUUCAAAGUAAACUGCAAAGUACUGCUUCUACAAAAUUACUGACUACUACACAGAAUGAUCCCAGUAUUUAGCCAGCUCAGCCACUGUAGAUCAACCGGCAUGAUAAGCUAACUGCAGUGGGCAGCUUCCUCAUUCUGAAGUAUCAAAGCUCAGACAAGCACGUGGUUGCUACUCUAUUAGAAGAGGGUGAGGUUCCAUCUUUAUUCUCCAGGAAAACUUUGUUCUGUUAAACUGGGUUGUGUUUGGCAACCACAAGCACUGCUAUAGCUGCUGCACAGCUCAGGGAAACGUGGAGUAAUUGUGUCAUUAAGCAGGGUGAAUGCUGGCUUUCUAAUCACAGCUGAUGCAACUCAUCACACUGGUCUCUGAGGCAUAAAGAGGCAAGCCGAGGGCUAAAAGUAUACAGUUUGUUUCAUUGCAUGCCUUGGAGGAGCCUCAUCCACACCAGAGAAAACCAGCUGUGCACGACCAUUCAAGCAGUGGCCUUAAGUUGCUACGAGCUGCCGGGGCUUCUCAUAAUUUGACAUUUGGGGGAGGAAACGUUCUCUUGAGAGGAGGCUGGAAGUGGUCCCUGUGCAGCCACAAAAGAGAGACGGAGCUGCAGCAGCUAUUUUAUAGCUACUUCAAAGGCCACCUAAAUCCAGUGCCUCCAUGCUCUGUGCUCACCCAUAUAGACAGCAGAGUAAAAGAAACCGUCUCUUACAGACAGCUGGAGUUGCCAAGAGGAAAUAAUGCACAGAUGAUACAGAAUGUAAGACUUACACAUUCUUUGAAAGGUAUGGCCUGUGUCUUACACCUGAUAUCUGUAAAACUCACAGUGAAAAAGUGCUGACUUGCCUAGAGACUUUUUGAAGUAGCAUCUCUUUGUUGCAAGAUUAACAGGCCUUGAACGAGUUCAUUGAGUCACAUCCUGAAGAAAUCAUACAGUAAGAUAAGGGGAACUAAGACCAUCAGCACCCAAGACAAGUGCAGAAGAGCUAACUGAAACCAGCACAUAUCAUGACAGGCUGUGACAGACCAAUCAGCAAGCUAAUUCAUGACCAUACAUGGAAGAAAGGCUCAGAGCUGAUAGAAAAGACACUGAGAGAUCCCUCUAUAACAACCACCGGGGACCUCCAAAGACCACCGACCCAAAUCACUGAGCAUGCGUGAUUGGGAGGAGAGUAUGUAAAUAACUCAUUAUCAUAAGACUGCCUUUUCCAGGAAAUAGGACGGGGAUGUGUAUCUUUGUUCUAUAUAAACUGUAUGCUUUUGGUUGUGCGGCAUGGACAUUAGGUGGAGCUAUCCCCCGUGCAUCUGGCGCCAUGAAUAAAGAAUGCCUGCUUUUUAAAACUCCAAGAUGAGUCUUAGAGUUUCCAUAAGCUGUAAUUUUCAGCAUCAUUUUGGUGACCCAGGUGGGACCACGCUUUUGAGACGAUUGAUGUGGGAUCACAGGACCUCCAGCUGGCACCGAGAUUUCUCAGGUAGACCCUUGGUCCCCCUUCCUGCAAGCUCAAAAGCCAAAGCCCCUGGACACCAACCUCGAAAAGAAACUCAUACCAACAGAAGUGCAUAAUAUGGUAAUUCCAAUUGUUUGGGCCAGAGAAGUUCCAGGUAAAUCCAAAAGAGCUGAACCUAUGACAACUGACUUGAAACCAGGAUCGAGUCUGUGAUCAAGCUGAAAGAAAGCUGGAACGUGAUUGCUUACAGAUGAUUGAGGAAGUCUACUUGAGCUGACCAGACCUUAAAGAUACCCCGUUAGAAGGACCAGAUUGGGAGCUGUACACGGAUGGAAGCAGCUUUGUCCAAGAAGGAAAAUGCCAGUCUGGGUAUGUGGUAACCACUACUGAUAAGGUAAUCGAAUCGUGAGCUUUGCCUUUGAACAUGUCAGCCCGGAAGGCUGAAAUAAUAGUACUUACCAGGGCACUAGAAUUGAGCCAAGGGAAGUGAGUCAAUGUAUGGACAGACUCUAAGUAUGCUUUUGGAGUAGUCCAUGCGCAUGGAGCGAUAUGGAAAGAAAGAGGACCUUUGUCAUCACAAGGAAACACCAUUCAGCAUGCAGAACGAGUAUUGAAAUUAUUAGAAGCCAUCCAGAAGCCAGCAGCAGUUGCAGUACGCAUUGUAAGACACACCAGUCAGGUAAAACUGUCCCUGGAACAGGUAAUCGAUUGGCAGAUAAGGCUGCUAGAGAGGCUGCAGAAAAAGGCAUCCUAGCUUUAGUCCUGGAAAGGGGUAUAUAACCUUACCUAAAGAACCCCCAAAAUGUGAGAAAGGCAAAAAACUGAUUACUAAACUACAGGCUAAGAAGGAUGAAAGAGGAUGGGCUAUAAUGCCGACUGGACAAAUAGUGGUACCACCUACAAUAAUGAGAAAUUGCUAGGGCAGAACAUAAUAAAGUACACUGGGGAACAGAAAGCCUGGUUGAGCACUUACAGAAAUGCAUUUUAAGCAGAGCCAUGACAAAAAACAUUCAAUCAGUUAUGGGCAGCUGUGAAAUUUGCUUACAAAACAACCCUAACACUAGUAGUAAAAUUAUAUUGAGAGUCACCAAGAAAGGUAACCCCUAGAGAGUAUUGGCAAAUUGAUUUCACAAAAUUACCUUGGAAGGAAGGGUACCGAUAUGUACUGGUACUGGUAGAUACAUUCACUGGGUGGCCUGAGGCUUUUCCAAGUCGCACCAACAAAGCAAGAGAAGUGGUUAAAAAUUUGCUCAAAGGAAUCAUUCCAAGGUUUGGCGUUCGUUCGGGAAUGUCAUCUGACAAUGGGCCUCAUUUUACAGCAGGAGUUGUUAAACAAUUGAGCAAGACACUGUCUAUAAAUUGGGAUUAUCACACACCAUAUAGGCCACAGUAGAGCGGGAGAGUAGAGUAGAUGAAUUAUACCCUUAAACAACAGUUAGGAAAAAUUUGCCAAGAAACUUCAUUAACAUGGGUAAAAGCAUUACCUAUGCCUUCGUUGAGAAUUGAAUCCAGCCAUGGGGAAAAGGAAACUUAAGUCCGUAUGAAAUGCUGUAUGGCAGACCCUCCCAAGGGUCAUACGCUCUAGGUACUAUUCAUGUACUUGGAGACAUGAUCCUGAGAAACAGUGUGAUUUCUCUUGGAAAUA
Long non-coding RNA from Egretta garzetta (little egret), 3753 nucleotides. RefSeq lists it as uncharacterized. NCBI's taxonomy places the organism in Eukaryota, Metazoa, Chordata, Aves, Pelecaniformes, Ardeidae. The transcript has 3 exons. The record is from RefSeq and is a predicted model, not a curated record.